CUGCAGUAGGGAAUCUUCGGCAAUGGACGAAAGUCUGACCGAGCAACGCCGCGUGAGUGAAGAAGGUUUUCGGAUCGUAAAACUCUGUUGUUAGAGAAGAACAAGGAUGAGAGUAGAACGUUCAUCCCUUGACGGUAUCUAACCAGAAAGCCACGGCUAACUACGUGCCAGCAGCCGCGGUAAUACGUAGGUGGCAAGCGUUGUCCGGAUUUAUUGGGCGUAAAGCGAGCGCAGGCGGUUUCUUAAGUCUGAUGUGAAAGCCCCCGGCUCAACCGGGGAGGGUCAUUGGAAACUGGGAGACUUGAGUGCAGAAGAGGAGAGUGGAAUUCCAUGUGUAGCGGUGAAAUGCGUAGAUAUAUGGAGGAACACCAGUGGCGAAGGCGGCUCUCUGGUCUGUAACUGACGCUGAGGCUCGAAAGCGUGGGGAGCGAACAGGAUUAGAUACCCUGGUAGUCCACGCCGUAAACGAUGAGUGCUAAGUGUUGGAGGGUUUCCGCCCU
This 500-nucleotide ribosomal RNA is filed under the name Enterococcus gallinarum. RNAcentral describes it as "bacterial SSU rRNA". It matches the Rfam family "Bacterial small subunit ribosomal RNA", at positions 349 to 839 of the family's 1533-position model. The record is from RNAcentral. Lineage: Bacteria; Bacillati; Bacillota; Bacilli; Lactobacillales; Enterococcaceae.